RNAcentral lists this ribosomal RNA (550 nucleotides) under uncultured bacterium. RNAcentral's name for it is "bacterial SSU rRNA". It matches the Rfam family "Bacterial small subunit ribosomal RNA", at positions 355 to 896 of the family's 1533-position model. The record is from RNAcentral.
UAGGGAAUCUUCGGCAAUGGACGGAAGUCUGACCGAGCAACGCCGCGUGAGUGAAGAAGGUUUUCGGAUCGUAAAGCUCUGUUGUAAGAGAAGAACGAGUGUGAGAGUGGAAAGUUCACACUGUGACGGUAUCUUACCAGAAAGGGACGGCUAACUACGUGCCAGCAGCCGCGGUAAUACGUAGGUCCCGAGCGUUGUCCGGAUUUAUUGGGCGUAAAGCGAGCGCAGGCAGUUAGAUAAGUCUGAAGUUAAAGGCUGUGGCUUAACCAUAGUAGGCUUUGGAAACUGUUUAACUUGAGUGCAAGAGGGGAGAGUGGAAUUCCAUGUGUAGCGGUGAAAUGCGUAGAUAUAUGGAGGAACACCGGUGGCGAAAGCGGCUCUCUGGCUUGUAACUGACGCUGAGGCUCGAAAGCGUGGGGAGCAAACAGGAUUAGAUACCCUGGUAGUCCACGCUGUAAACGAUGAGUGCUAGGUGUUAGACCCUUUCCGGGGUUUAGUGCCGUAGCUAACGCAUUAAGCACUCCGCCCGGGGAGUACGACCGCAAGGUUG